Molecule: ribosomal RNA, 639 nt
Filed under: uncultured bacterium
Lineage: Bacteria
Description: bacterial SSU rRNA
Rfam family: Bacterial small subunit ribosomal RNA
Source: RNAcentral
CGCGGCCUAUCAGCUUGUUGGUGAGGUAACGGCUCACCAAGGCUUCGACGGGUAGCUAGUCUGAGAGGACGAAUAGCCACACUGGGGCUGAGACACGGCCCAGACUCCUACGGGAGGCAGCAGUGGGGAAUCUUGCGCAAUGGGCGAAAGCCUGACGCAGCAACGCCGCGUGGGGGAUGAAGGCUCUCGGGUUGUAAACCCCUUUCAGCAGGGACGAUUAUGACGGUACCUGCAGAAGAAGGACCGGCCAACUACGUGCCAGCAGCCGCGGUAAUACGUAGGGUCCGAGCGUUGUCCGGAUUUAUUGGGCGUAAAGAGCUCGUAGGCGGCUUCGUAAGUCGGGUGUGAAAACCCCAGGCUCAACCUGGGGACGCCACUCGAUACUGCGGUGGCUUGAGUCUGGUAGGGGAUCUCGGAAUUCCUGGUGUAGCGGUGAAAUGCGCAGAUAUCAGGAGGAACACCAGUGGCGAAGGCGGAGAUCUGGGCCAGUACUGACGCUGAGGAGCGAAAGCGUGGGGAGCGAACAGGAUUAGAUACCCUGGUAGUCCACGCCGUAAACGUUGGGCACUAGGUGUGGGGACCUAUCGACGGUUUCCGUGCCGCAGCUAACGCAUUAAGUGCCCCGCCUGGGGAGUACGG